Molecule: ribosomal RNA, 546 nt
Filed under: uncultured Glomus
Lineage: Eukaryota; Fungi; Glomeromycota; Glomeromycetes; Glomerales; Glomeraceae
Description: SSU rRNA
Rfam family: Eukaryotic small subunit ribosomal RNA
Source: RNAcentral
UUGGAGGGCAAGUCUGGUGCCAGCAGCCGCGGUAAUUCCAGCUCCAAUAGCGUAUAUUAAAGUUGUUGCAGUUAAAAAGCUCGUAGUUGAAUUUCGGGAUUAGUACGUCGGUCGUGCCUUAGGUACGUACUGGUGUUACUGGUUCCUACCUUCUGACGAACCAUCAUGUCAUUAAUUUGGUGUGGUGGGGAAUCAGGACUGUUACUUUGAAAAAAUUAGAGUGUUUAAAGCAGGCUCGCGCUUGAAUACAUUAGCAUGGAAUAAUGAAAUAGGACGUUGAUCCUAUUUUGUUGGUUUCUAGGAUUGACGUGAUGAUUAAUAGGGAUAGUUGGGGGCAUUAGUAUUCAAUUGUCAGAGGUGAAAUUCUUGGAUUUAUUGAAGACUAACUACUGCGAAAGCAUUUGCCAAGGAUGUUUUCAUUAAUCAAGAACGAAAGUUAGGGGAUCGGAGACGAUCAGAUACCGUCGUAGUCUUAACCAUAAACUAUGCCGACUAGGGAUCGGAUGAUGUUAUUUUUAAUGACUCAUUCGGCACCUUACGGGAAAC